UGUAUAAUUGAUAGUUAAAAA
Molecule: non-coding RNA, 21 nt
Filed under: Caenorhabditis elegans
Lineage: Eukaryota; Metazoa; Nematoda; Chromadorea; Rhabditida; Rhabditidae
Source: RNAcentral